UCGCACCUCGAUAGAG
Molecule: ribosomal RNA, 16 nt
Filed under: Fraxinus angustifolia
Lineage: Eukaryota; Viridiplantae; Streptophyta; Magnoliopsida; Lamiales; Oleaceae
Description: partial 26S ribosomal RNA
Source: RNAcentral